CCUACGGGUGGCAGCAGUCGAGAAUCAUUCACAAUGGGGGAAACCCUGAUGGUGCGACGCCGCGUGGGGGAAUGAAGGUCUUCGGAUUGUAAACCCCUGUCAUGUGGGAGCAAAUUAAAAAGAUAGUACCACAAGAGGAAGAGACGGGUAACUCUGUGCCAGCAGCCGCGGUAAUCCAGAGGUCUCAAGCGUUGUUCGGAAUCACUGGGCGUAAAGCGUGCGUAGGCUGUUUCGUAAGUCAUGUGUGAAAGGCGGGGUCUCAACCCGCGGACGGAACAUGAUACUGCGAGACUAGAGUAAUGGAGAGGGAAGCGGAAUUCGCGGUGUAGCAGUGAAAGGCGUAGAUAUCGAGAGGAACACUCGUGGCGAAGGCGGGUUCCUGGACAUUAACUGACGCUGAGGCACGAAGGCCAGGGGAGCGAAAGGGAUUAGAUACCCGAGUAGUC
This 446-nucleotide ribosomal RNA is filed under the name uncultured bacterium. RNAcentral's name for it is "partial 16S ribosomal RNA". It matches the Rfam family "Bacterial small subunit ribosomal RNA", at positions 338 to 795 of the family's 1533-position model. The record is from RNAcentral.